UACGGAGGGUGCAAGCGUUGCUCGGAAUUAUUGGGCGUAAAGGGUAGGUAGGUGGUCUCAUUUGUCUGGGGUGAAAGCCUUGAGCUUAACUCAAGAAGUGCCCCAGCAACGGUGAGACUAGAGUCCUGGAGAGGGUCGUGGAAUUCCCGGUGUAGCGGUGAAAUGCCUAGAGAUCGGGAGGAACACCAGAGGCGAAAGCGGCGACCUGGACAGGCACUGACACUCAACUACGAAAGCGUGGGGAGCAAACAGG
This 253-nucleotide ribosomal RNA is filed under the name uncultured bacterium. Its description in RNAcentral is "partial 16S ribosomal RNA". It matches the Rfam family "Bacterial small subunit ribosomal RNA", at positions 524 to 776 of the family's 1533-position model. The record is from RNAcentral.